CAGCCUUGAGGUCUACCAGCUAGGCCUUGCUGCUUCUCCUGUCAGUAAUUUCAGGGCCUUGGCUGCAUGAGGAGAAAAGGCAGAAGUCCAGCUUCUUUCUGCCUCCCUGGAGAAGCUUUCCAGACCAGCCCGCUCAGAGGACCAAGGAAGGCACCUGAGCCCCCAAUGUGUCAUGGGAGACCUGGCUCCCACAUCCUUCCCUGCUUCCCCAAGGACAUCGGGGUAUGGACAGGACGGAGGCCGUGGCGCUGAUCCAAACCUGUCUGUCGGCCCCCCUGGAUGGCGGACGACUAACCGGCCCCUCUUGGGAUACCAUGAGAACCGCACCGGCCCCCCCCAGGAGGGCAUCGGUUGGCACCAGGCUGUUGCCCCCUGCACGCUCCUUCCCGCCCCCAUCCCACGAUUGUAUCCCCUUCCUUCAGACAAUGUCAUUUCUUUCGGGUAGGGGUUAAGGGUCAAACACUGCAUCAUGGGUGCCACACAAAUCUCUGGCAAUUCCUGGAGGUGAUGGAUGUGUGUGCGUCUCUGGUGUGAGAAUGGGUGUCAGGACCAGAUCAGGAGGAGGGGGCUGCCCCUUUUCGGACGGGGAGACGGGUUCUG
Long non-coding RNA from Tachyglossus aculeatus (Australian echidna), 600 nucleotides. RefSeq lists it as uncharacterized. The transcript has 4 exons. The record is from RefSeq and is a predicted model, not a curated record. NCBI's taxonomy places the organism in Eukaryota, Metazoa, Chordata, Mammalia, Monotremata, Tachyglossidae.